AGCGAACGCUGGCGGCAGGCUUAACACAUGCAAGUCGAACGCCCCGCAAGGGGAGUGGCAGACGGGUGAGUAACACGUGGGAACGUACCCUUUGGUUCGGAAUAACUUGGGGAAACUCAAGCUAAUACCGGAUAAGCCCUUAUGGGGAAAGGUUUACUGCCGAAGGAUCGGCCCGCGUCUGAUUAGCUAGUUGGUGAGGUAACGGCUCACCAAGGCGACGAUCAGUAGCUGGUCUGAGAGGAUGAUCAGCCACACUGGGACUGAGACGCGGCCCAGACUCCUACGGGAGGCAGCAGUGGGGAAUAUUGGACAAUGGGGGCAACCCUGAUCCAGCCAUGCCGCGUGAGUGGUGAAGGCCUUAGGGUUGUAAAGCUCUUUUACCCGGGACGAUAAUGACUGUACCGGGAGAAUAAGCCCCGGCUAACUUCGUGCCAGCCGCCGCAGUAA
RNAcentral lists this ribosomal RNA (447 nucleotides) under uncultured bacterium. RNAcentral's name for it is "partial 16S ribosomal RNA". It matches the Rfam family "Bacterial small subunit ribosomal RNA", at positions 29 to 523 of the family's 1533-position model. The record is from RNAcentral.